This 69-nucleotide transfer RNA is filed under the name Lepidapion squamigerum. Its description in RNAcentral is "tRNA-Met". It matches the Rfam family "tRNA". Rfam says of the family: Transfer RNA (tRNA) molecules are approximately 80 nucleotides in length. The record is from RNAcentral. Lineage: Eukaryota; Metazoa; Arthropoda; Insecta; Coleoptera; Brentidae.
UAAAAAAUAAGCUAAUAAAGCUAAUGGGUUCAUGCCCCAUCUAUGUAGGUUAUACUCCUGCUUUUUUAA